Non-coding RNA from Aegilops tauschii subsp. strangulata, 4649 nucleotides. Lineage: Eukaryota; Viridiplantae; Streptophyta; Magnoliopsida; Poales; Poaceae. The record is from RefSeq and is a predicted model, not a curated record.
UGGCUAGGACAAACUAUCCCAGGUCUUCCUUUCCCAGAUGCUGCUGUCCCUGACUCAAGCCAGCGACUGAAUGCUUGAUUUUAUCUACCCACAAAGCCAAUCCAUGAUCCCCUCUCUCUCUCUCUUCCACUCUUCUUGCCUUCAUCACGAAGGCUGCUCUCAUCAACGACCAUGGGUAAGCCAAGGAGCUCACGUAUUGCUCUCGCGACCGGUGCUGGCGGGGCUACGCGCUUCGAUUGGGCGACGGACGGCCCCGUCUUGGUCUCGCGCCGCCAUCGAUCCGCCCUUCUCGUUCGCCGCGCGCCCGCGCCCUAUGCUAGCAGGUGGGUGGGGGAGGACGAGGUCGCUGCGGUUGUCGGCGCCUCCUCUGUCGCCGGAGGCCAUGGACUCUCCGUCUCUCCCCAUCAACCGCAUAAUCCGCCUCUGCUGUUGUUUUCAUCGGGUGUGAGGUGAGUCUCAGUUUCUAUUUCUGUCGAUUAGUAUUUUUUUUGUUAGAUAUUCACAGAAAUUAAGGGAGUAUCUGUGGUCAAAAGAUUUUAGGUAUCUACACUCCAAUGCUUAUUUCAGGAUCGUGUGAAGGUGAGAAGCCUAUUCAAACUGGCAUAUCAUGGCCAACCUGUUUUGUUUAGCGCAAUCCCCUAGGCUGCACACGAGCUUGCCUUGGCUAUCUGUGGUUGGUUCCGUAGUGUAUUUGAGGUUAUGCCCAUGUUUAGAGUCGAAGAUUCCAAUACACGUAGGCAUCUGUGUGAGUUUGUAUGGGUCACUAUUUUGGGGUGAAGAAGAUUGAUAGGGUAUAGUUCAUCUGCAAAACAGUGACUAUGAAUUUGUUUCUCUAUAAAGGUUUGCGAUAUUAUAGAUGGAUUAUUCAUUGAAUUAUUUAGACCGUUUACUGGAAAUUGCAAGAACGAACUUGAGACAAUUAAUAAAGCAGUAUCCAUUUGAGCAACUGAAGGUAAAAUAUUCCUGCUUGGUUAUUCCAGUUAUGUUACAAUAUUUGAGUUUUGUGGCUCAAGAUGUUGAUUCACAUUGUCUUAAUUCCUGCAUAUUGGUUUCUUUAUACCCCUUGACAUGGAGAUCCAGGAAGGAGGGAAGGAGGCGAGUCUCUCCCACGGCGUCGCUGUCAAGGAGCAGUAAGGGACCUCCCUGUCUAUAAGCAUCGUCGCGAGGAGGACAAAAGGCUGUAGGCUGGUGAGAUACAUACUGGUUAAGGUUAUGUGAUUUGUGUGCGGUAUCGGAUCCAGGUAGCACAAUGCUUCAGACUCACAUCAAAGGAAAAAGCUGAUCAAUAGGUUUCAGCCAUGGAACAUGCCCGUGGUCAUCUACCUAGCAUUUGAUCAAGCGAAUGAAACUGUGAGACUCAGUAUGCCAAUGUUGAAGUGACCAAACACCUGACCGUAAAAUGGCACAUGUACAUCUAGCUCUUUAUUCUAUCACUUUGAUUUGUGGAAGCCACUAAGUUGCUGCUGUAGGGAUGCAUAAUCAGAUGAAGGGAGAGGAGGAAGAGCUCAAGAAGAUUAAUAUAUUUCUAUAUUAUUCCACAUAUAUGAGUUUGUGUGACGUUACUUUCAAUUACUAAAGAUGGUCUUCUUUGAUGGUUUAUAUCUGCUUCAUACUUUCUGUUAUGUUUCUGUGUCAAUAAAUACACCACCUGUUUGUAUCAAAAUAGAGGGAUAUUUGCAGGCUUCAAUGGAAGGGUGUUGUAAGAGAUCAGAAACUUAUUUAGUUAAUCAUAUUAUGUGGUACAUUUGUGACUAGUUGCUAGAAGUGAGAAGAGGCCAAAUGAAUCUUUAUAAGAUUUUACGCUACGCUGUAAGCAAAAUUCAGAUAGUACAUAUGACUGAUCAGGCAUGGUAUGAACUCUUAUAACAUACGCACAUGAUCUUAUCAUUGUUUCUGGGUUGAUCCAUCUAAGCUAUAAUGCCAUAUAUCUAAACUAACAUUUUUAACUCAAAUUGCUGACUGAGGACCAAACAAGACAGCCCAAUGUGCUGAGAAAAGAUAGGGGCACACAUGAACGUCUCAAGAGGCGCGCACAGGCGCGCCCCAACCACUAGUGGAACAUAUAAAUGAUGCUAUGCUACCCGCCCAUAUGGAGCACUUGCAUCGCGCGGUCAAUCAGGUUCACACGAUCUGCCAUGGUUUCAUAAUUUAUCGAAGAUUGCAGGGUAACUAAUUGCACCUUAUGGAGAAGGAGCAGGCCGUGGAGGAGUGCAAGCAGCAGGUUCCCGGUGACUGCAAAUCUGAAACUGAAGAUAGGGCUGAUUGCAUUGGUUCUGAUUGCUUGCAGAACUUGUGGCAUGCUGGCCCUGGAGUAGUCGGACCCUGCCAAGAAAGAGGAGCGGGAGAUGAGGAGCGCAACAUUUAGUGUACAAUGGUGCAUGAUGUGGCAGUUAGGACCAGGACACGAGGAACACGACACUGGGUGUAUGAAAGAUUAGUAGGAAGAAUGUUAAUCACGGUGUGUGAAAAGAAAAUGCGAGCUCGGCUGAUGGAUUGCGUACUAUUUGGCUGAGUUGUUUUGUCCUAAAGAUACAAUCAAGCUGAAGAGUUCUUUUUGUAUGGAAAUUCACUAUGGAAAUCGAAACAAUGGUACUCUGCACAACCGUUUACUUUCUUGCAUCGAUUCUUCAUUAUGUAAGUGAAACCUUUUCUAUUUGGUAAAAUAAGAGUGAGCUCAUGCUUGAACUUCCACCAUGUAUGUUAACACUUGGAUACUGUAUCAACCCAGUAAUCCUCCGAUCCUUCAUUGUUUUCCCUUGCAUUGCCUCCUUUAACUAUUCAGCAGGACCUUUGAAAAGAAUGAUUUUGGUUAUAUAAUUUAUUAUGUUUUGUUUCACCUUCGAGAGGUAGAAUGUAAAGUAGGCUGGUAUUUUCAUUCUGUUCAUAUGCAGAUAUUUGAUAUAGGUGAAUAUAUACCUUUCGAUAGGUGAAUGUGCUCUCCAUUAAUAUCACUCAUAUAUUUGAGCUUCAGAGAAGGAUAUCUAUGCCAUUUUUUUUUUGUUUUUUGAACAAAAGAGUGUUCUAUGUGUAUCGUUAAGAGGACGAAGCAGCAAAAUUAUCUACGCAAUUUAGCAGGAUAUGGCUGAUACGUACAGAGUGGCUUUACUUAGGUCUGGUGUUACUACUAUUUCUUUCAUUGUAAAACUGCAGUGCAGCAGAGUUUAUAGAUAGAUAUAUAAUGGUAUUUGAUGUUUCCAUGUAGUUUUAAAACAACCUCCUAGCACUGUUCAUUUUAGAUAGAUAUAUAAUGGUAUGAGAUCGACUAUGUCCCCUCCAUUGAUGUGCUUCUCCAGAUUUGAGGAAUCGUUUGGGUUUUAUCUACUUGUCCAUGAAGGAUGCUUCAUGAUGAAAAUUCCUCAUAUAAUGUUUUUUGAGAGGAAGAGUUUAGGGAGUACUAUAUCUCUCAAGAUAUGCCAGAGAAUUGAAUAUGAACUCACAUAAAAGAAUUGAGAUUACAAACGUAGAGGCUUCACUAGAAGAGAGGCCCUUGCUGUAGAUCACAAGAGACAUGUUUUUUGUAGGUACAAGAACCAUAUUGCUAUUUACGAUUAUCUCCCAGCAAUGAAAGUGUAUGUGACAAACAUGAAUAAGCUAGGGGAAAAGUCAACUGCUCUCUUCCUUUUUGUUUGAGUGUUAACUUUUGUUUUCAAUUUCCAACUUUGUGCAACUAUUUUCUAUAUAUGUAUAGGUGCUUGCUAUGUUAGAGAUAAAAAAGGAUCUUCAUUGCAACAAGCCCCGUGGGGGUUACAGCAAGCCAUGUGAGCACAGGGCAUGGAGAAAUGCCAGUAUUCUUGAAAUCCCUUGUUGCAUUUGUUCUUUGUCCUCCUGGGAUGUUAGUAAGACAUCCUUUUCUUAGGUAUUGAGUAGGAUUUUAGAUGCACAAUUUGUUAAAAAAAUCAAUGCUUAAGCUGACGAUAAGGUGAUGUUUGGCCUUGGCCUUUUGUUCUAAUCAUUUGUUGUUAUUAUCACAUAUCAUUUCAUCAAUUUUUUGGCUUCAUUCUUCCCUUCCUACUUGCGGCAGGUAGAAGACUCGGGCAACAGUUAAUGGACAAGCACUAUAUACACAAUGCAUCUCUGCUAAUAUAGCUUACUUUAUAAAGCCAUCAAUGUAUGCUAUUAUCAAGCGAUUUGAAUAUUUUAUUUUAAGCUAUCAUGUAAUGGAAUAUAACUAUCCUUAACUUGUUCUAAAUCAGUCUAAUAUGCAUGGUUUGAAUCCUCGGCUCGCUCUUCCUUUUGGCUUGAUAUGAAUAUUUUCUUUCAAGCUAUCAUGUAAUGGAAUGUAAGUAUUUAUUAAGUUGGUUUAAAUCAAUCUCAUAUGCAUGAUUUUAAUACUCGGCUUACUCUUGCUUUUUGCGCCAUGGGCACAACGGGUCAUCUAGCAUGAACAAAGGACAAGCAUAUGCUUUCGCCUUCAAAUGCACUUCCAAGGGACUGCGCCUGAUCGUCUACUCAAUAUAAGCAAGUUGCAAGAGCCCUUUGUUAUUAUAACUUAGCAUUAGUAUAGAUGCCUACCAAGACUUAUGUAAUCCCCUAAGACCAUCAUGUGCAUUUAACUGUCGGUUAUUUGCUACUUAGGCUGCUGUGUGGUAUGAUGAAAGAAAUAUAUGCUUUCAUUUUGUGUUUACAUAUUUUAGUGCAAACUCUUACAA